This 77-nucleotide transfer RNA is filed under the name Pedosphaera sp. RNAcentral's name for it is "tRNA-Arg". It matches the Rfam family "tRNA". Rfam says of the family: Transfer RNA (tRNA) molecules are approximately 80 nucleotides in length. Their secondary structure includes four short double-helical elements and three loops (D, anti-codon, and T loops). Further hydrogen bonds mediate the characteristic L-shaped molecular structure. tRNAs have two regions of fundamental functional importance: the anti-codon, which is responsible for specific mRNA codon recognition, and the 3' end, to which the tRNAs corresponding amino acid is attached (by aminoacyl-tRNA synthetases). tRNAs cope with the degeneracy of the genetic code in two manners: having more than one tRNA (with a specific anti-codon) for a particular amino acid; and 'wobble' base-pairing, i.e. permitting non-standard base-pairing at the 3rd anti-codon position. RNAcentral also lists the same sequence under 2 other names. The record is from RNAcentral. Lineage: Bacteria; Pseudomonadati; Verrucomicrobiota; Pedosphaerae; Pedosphaerales; Pedosphaeraceae.
GCUCCCGUAGCUCAGUUGGAUAGAGCAGCGGUCUUCUAAACCGCGGGUCGCUGGUUCGAAUCCAGCCGGGAGCGCCA